Molecule: long non-coding RNA, 5034 nt
Organism: Canis lupus familiaris (dog)
Lineage: Eukaryota; Metazoa; Chordata; Mammalia; Carnivora; Canidae
Exons: 11
Source: RefSeq, a predicted model, not a curated record
CUGUCUAACGCUAUGAGGACAUGUCCUAAGAAGACUGACCCAGCCUGUUGAAUAAAGGGAGGGCUUUUUUGAGGAAGAGACAUUUGAACUGAGAUCUGAGGGAUGUGUAGGAGUCAGACAAAUGUGGUUUUGGCUGCAAUCUGAAGUCUGUAACUUGAGAGUCAAUAUGCAGAAUUCUCUAUUCAGAUUUCACAGUUAAAGGAAGUAGCGCAUCAUAAUUAGUGAGCCCUACCCCACUGGUUUCAUCAGAGAUAUGCUCCCUUGACUACACUACAACUCUCUGACCCAUGUUACUCUUUUAGUAAUAAGACAACUGAUAAUGCUAGCUCUUUCUCAGAAGUUCCUCUAAAAAUAAAAUGAAUAGGUUAUGAGAAAGGGUUCUUUUUUUUUAACAUGGCAUAAUUAUGUGCAAACACUACUUAUUAUCUCUAUGUGAUCUCCCUUUUACUUAUUUUCAUAAAGCAGGAGAACAAAAGGAGUUGGUGCUUUAGAGGAAAUGGUUAUUUGUCACCUACAACUAAAAUUUCUAAGUGGUUUUACCCGGUUGCUUAUUAACAAAUAAUUUUUAGUAAAUGGUUCCCUGAUACAGCUUUCUACUAGACAGAAUGAAGUAAAACAGACUUUAUUCUUCCUUGAAAGAAUGACUGUAACAAAGAUGCGCAAUCAACAUAAACAACACAACACCAAGAAGAUAGCAAGUGACACCCUAACACAUGUAUGUGAAUAUUUGGGUAGGCAAGGCUUUGGAGAUAAGUGAUUCGUCUGUGUGUAUUUUAUCCAGGACAUUUUUAGUUUGCAGACUUUAUCUGGAAAAAUAAAGCACUGAAAACAGACGAGAGGAGGACAUGGAUAAGUUAUAAAACUCUCAGAAGAAAACAUAAGACAAAAGCUUCAUGUUGGAUUUGGCAAUGAUUUUUUAGAUGUGACACCAAAGGCACAGGCAAUAAAAGAAAAAAAUUGACAAAUCAUACUUCAUAAAAUAAAAACUUAUAUGCACCAAUAGACCGUAUUAACAGAAUCAAAAGGGCCUAGACUCACCGAAUCUUAGAGGGCCUUCGAAAUCCAUGCCAGAGGUGGUCUCCUCUGAUACUUACCUGUUACUCCUGCCUUGUCAGAGUCUACCUGGUAAUAUCCAGCCGGAACCCACCUUAGUUCAGCUCAGGCUAUACCUCUGACUAUGAGGACUGAAAAGCGAAUAUAGAUGAGCACGAAGAAGCUAAGACCAUGCACCAUCCACCGCUCAGAGACAAUGGCUAUUAAUAUCCCUCCACAACCUCCUCUUUUCAAGUUUAUACAGUAACAACAGUGAAGAUGGGAGCAUAUUACUCUGCUACUUUUUAAGCUCUGGAUCUCCCCAUGGGUCAGUGGCACCAUCGGGCCGGUAGUGAACUGGAUGCAGAAGUGCCAGACAUACGAUCCACGAAGAACAUCACCAUUGGAUGACAAUAAAAUGCUUCCAGAAGCUCAUUCUGAAGAGCGUGGGGAUAUCUAUUCUCAUGAUUCAUAGGCAAGAAUUUUCAUUUGCCUUAUCACUGACAAGAGGAAUGGAUUUACCCUCCAGCCGGAGCUCUGUUUGGAAGGCCUAAGCUCUAUUUGGAAGGCAUGCUAGAUAGACAAUUGCCAAUGUCCACCAACUCAAUUUUUAUCUGUUGAAUUUUGCUGAGGAUUCAAAAGAAAACAAACAAGCCUGGCCUCCACCUCAGGGACUGCACACCUGCAAGAUUGUUUACCGAUUGAGCCACCCUUCUGAGCUGAGCCCAGAGGUUGCAAAUUUGUUGAGCUGGCACAAGCUGUGUGGUUUUCUUUCUUUUUAUAAUAUUUAGAGUUGAAUGACUUUAGGUGAGGCAGGUUCUUUUGUUCACUAUAAUCCUCAUCACCUCCUAUUUGACUUCAUGCAUUUACAUUACCUGCUUGGGCCCCUGUAAGCAUUGACUUUGCCACCCCAAACUAAGCCCCAGAAGGAAAUAGACAUAGAGGCUAAGUUUAUUCAGGUUGAGUAGCAAAAACACAAAGAAAAACAGAGACUUUCCAUCACCCAAGAAUAAAUAUGAUCUUUACCAUUUUCAAUUAUCACAUUCUGGUUCAUUCCAGAACCAGCUUGAAACCAGGAUUGGAACGACCUUCAGAGCUUGGUUAUCCUUUACCCAUCUAGAAAGAACUGUGACUUUGGAUUGACUUGGAACUCCAAGGAGUUUCCUAGAACUUCUCUAAAGCCAUGGUUCAUCUUUUUAAAAAAAAUAUUUAUUAAUUUUAGAGAAAAAGAGAGAGCGAGUGAGCAUGGUGGGGAGGGGAGAAGCAGAGGGAGAGGGAGAGGGAAUCUCAAGCAGACUUCACACUGCAUGUGGAGCCUGACGUGGGGCUUGAUCUCAUGACCCAGAGAUCACAAUAGCUGAAACCAAGAGUCACAUGCUUAACCAACUGUGCCACCCAGGCGCCCCAUAAAACUGUUUCAUCUUAAUAGUUUCUAUUAGAUGGCUUAAUUUGGAAGAGAAGAAUAGUGUUUUCUUUAUGUGCACAAAGCACCAUGGCAUGAAGUGUAAGAAGCAGCCCCUUUGCUCAAUUGUAAGUUGUUUCAAUUAUUAAUUUUCUUUCCAUAUUUUCCAUGUGGGUUGCUCUACUGAUUUGCCUUCUAAUAGUCCUCCACAUCUAUUCCUACUAUCUAUAUUAUAUUUAUGCAUCCACUCAACCAACGUUUGUUGAGCAACUACUAUGUACUGGGCACUCCCGGAACCAGGGUCUACCAACAACCCUUGCCUAACAGAUGGAAGCUAACUUUGCAUGAGAAGCUCUGAAAAAUGAGAACAGUUAUGACUUCAUAAUUGAUGGGGAAAACUGGAAUCCUAGUAUAUGUCUUACUGAAGACCAGCAGACAGAGGCUAAGUUGGAUGGACUGGGCAGAAGUGGGCAAAGCUGACCUCAGUUGCUGAUCUCACUCUGUCAACGUGGACACAAUUUGUGCUGGCAUUCCAGAUAAUCAAGAGGCACUUGGCCAUCAACGGGUGUUCUUUCAAGAUGCUGAAACAAUUUUUGAGUUUUAUCUUCUUGCUUCGGCCACAUCCCUAAGAUGUAGGAGGCAGGUUCUUUCAGCCAGUUUUUUGAAGGAGAAAGUACAAGGAUGCAAGGUCACGGCAAUGAACCUCAAAGACAGCAGUCAAAGUCACAAAGUGAUGGGAUGGAAAAGAUUUCUGGUUUCAGCUGGAAAUAUUAUGAUGAGCCUAUAACUUCAUUCUUUCAUCCAGUAAGUAUUGAGUAGCUACCACGUGCCAGGCAUGGUUCUAGGUUCUGAAGACACAACCCUGAACAAGACAAAAUCUAUGUUCUCAUGGAGAUUACAUUCUAGUGAAGGGACGCUAAGAAGACACAGAUGAAUGCACUUUCUCUUUGCGUAGAGAAGAAUGAGGGUAGGCCAAGGCCUCCAGGAGUGGGGGGCUGCCAGUCAUUGAUGUGGACUCUCAUAUUGUUGCAGGCACUGUAGAUGGUUUCUAGGGGCUGGCUGUGCAGAUCCUCUGUUGGUUUUGUCUGAGCUCAUUCAUGCGAUGGCAUUCAGCUAGAAGGGAACUGGGCUCAAAGUCCAAGAUGGCCUUACUCACAUACCUGGCAUUUGGAUCUGGCCAUGGGCUGCGGUGCCUUGAUUCUCCUCCAUGGUCUCUCAUCCUCCACUAAAGCUACACUAGCUUCCUCAUGUGGCAAUUUCAGGAGAGUUUUCCAAAAGGCCAAAUGUGGAAACUGCAAAGCCUUUCGACGUCUAGGGGCUGGGACUUGCAUAAAGUCACCGUCAGCAAAUUCCAUUGGUUAAAGCAAAUCACAAGACCAGCUUCAGCUCAGGAGGUGGAAAGAUAGACUCCAGUUCUGGGAUACACCCUAAGACCACCAGCUAGGGAAGCAGUUGUCUCCGUGUUGGAGGACAAGAUGCCACAGAGAGGGAAAGUAAGGCACCCUACUGGACAGCUAUACCAACUGCCUGGCAUUUGAGUAAAGUCAUCUUGGACCUUCUAGCCCAGAAUGCCUUUCAGCCGAGUGCAGAGCAUGAGAAAGCCCUGGCAAGACAUCAGAAGAAUUGCCCAGCUUUGGGAUGCCUGGGUGGCUCAGUUGGUUAAAUGUCUGACUCUUGAUUUCAGCUCAGGUUAUGAUCUCAGGGUCGUGGAAUUGAGCCUUGUGUAGGGCUCCAUGUGCAGUGGGGAGUCUGCUUGGGAUUCUCUCUCUCUCUCUGUCCCUAUCCUCAGCUCGUGUGCUCUCUUUCUCUUUCAAAUAAAUAAAUCUUAAAAAAAAAGAACAACCCAGCCAUCUCACAGUAUUGUAAAAAGUAACACAUUACUGCUAUUUCAAGCCACACAAUUUUGGGAUGACUUAUUAUUCAGCCAUAGCUGACUUAGACAGAAUCUUGGAUGCUACUAUCACCUCUCCACUCUCCUUCCUACCCAAACAUGCCUGAGAGCAGACAACACUAUUUGUUAUCCCAGCUGGCAUUUCUUCACCUUUCUCAGGACUCUGCAUUUCUCAUUUCCCAUCCAGUUUCCCAGUAGCACUCCCCCCAUCUCCCCUGAAUGACCUAUCCUGGAGACACUUCUCAAGUCUCACUUCCUUUAUGUCUUACCAUCAGAUUCUCACUGGAUGUGGAGUUCAAAAGGAAUUUUGAACGGGAUUACAAUGGCUCUGGUUGGAUUAAUUUAUGAUGGUUCGUUCAUUCCUUCCUUGAAUAAUGAUUUCUGCUUUCUCUCCUUUCCUUCAGCCUAGUUCUCUUAAGUUUUCAUCUGGUAUCCUGUGUUAAUUCUGGUGAGAUUCAACUCCCUUCCUGGGAGCUAAUGGAGGAAAACCUAUAAUGUUUUCAAAUAUCUUUGACCUCAAAUGAUUUCAUCUUUGAAGGCAGAUUGUAAAGAAGACUCCUGCUGUUAAGAAAAUGUCCGUUGUCUGAUUCUCUUCAUUAGAAUGUAAAUUUCAUGAGGCCAUGGAACUUCGUUUUCUUGAGUGUUUUGAAUGAGUGCACAUUCAAAAAGAUUAUAAAAUAGGAAUGAAAAAAAUCCGCUCACCACUUAG